CCUGGGAACUAAGCAUAUCAAUAAGCGGAGGAAAAGAAACUAACAAGGAUUCCCCUAGUAACUGCGAGUGAAGCGGGAAAAGCUCAAAUUUAAAAUCUGGUGGUCUUUGGCCAUCCGAGUUGUAAUUUAGAGAAGCGUCUUCCGCGCUGGACCGUGCACAAGUCUCCUGGAAUGGAGCGUCAUAGAGGGUGAGAAUCCCGUCUUUGGCAUGGACCCCAGGGCUUCUGUGAUGCGCUCUCAAAGAGUCGAGUUGUUUGGGAAUGCAGCUCAAAAUGGGUGGUGAACUCCAUCUAAAGCUAAAUAUUGGCGAGAGACCGAUAGCGAACAAGUACCGUGAGGGAAAGAUGAAAAGCACUUUGGAAAGAGAGUGAAACAGUACGUGAAAUUGUUGAAAGGGAAACGCUUGAAGUCAGUCGCGUCGACCGAGACUCAGCCUUGCCUUGGCUUGGUGUACUUCUCGGCUGACGGGUCAGCAUCAAUUUCGAUCCUUGGAUAAUGGCAAGGGAAAGGUAGCACCUUUACAGGUGUGUUAUAGUCCUCUGUCGCAUGCAAGGGUUGGGAUUGAGGAACUCAGCACGCGCCUUGUCGGUGUCGGGGCCUUUUGGCCUACGUACGUGCUUAGGAUGCUGGCAUAAUGGCUUUAAACGACCCGUCUUGAAACACGGACCAAGGAGUCUAACAUGCACGCGAGUGUUCGGGUGGAAAACCCGUGCGCGUAAUGAAAGUAAAAGUUGGGACCUCUGUCGUGGAGGGCACCGACGCCCGGACCAGACCUUCUGUGACGGCUCUGCGGUAGAGCGUGUAUGUUGGGACCCGAAAGAUGGUGAACUAUGCCUGAAUAGGGUGAAGCCAGAGGAAACUCUGGUGGAGGCUCGUAGCGAUUCUGACGUGCAAAUCGAUCGUCAAAUUUGGGUAUAGGGGCGAAAGACUAAUCGAACCAUCUAGUAGCUGGUUCCUGCCGAAGUUCCCCUCAG
RNAcentral lists this ribosomal RNA (974 nucleotides) under Russula sp. RNAcentral's name for it is "partial 28S large subunit ribosomal RNA". It matches the Rfam family "Eukaryotic large subunit ribosomal RNA", at positions 27 to 976 of the family's 3401-position model. Lineage: Eukaryota; Fungi; Basidiomycota; Agaricomycetes; Russulales; Russulaceae. The record is from RNAcentral.